UAGGGAAUCUUCCGCAAUGGACGCAAGUCUGACGGAGCAACGCCGCGUGAGUGAAGAAGGAUUUCGGUUCGUAAAACUCUGUUGUUAGAGAAGAACAGCGCAUAGAGUAACUGUUAUGCGUGUGACGGUAUCUAACCAGAAAGCCACGGCUAACUACGUGCCAGCAGCCGCGGUAAUACGUAGGUGGCAAGCGUUGUCCGGAUUUAUUGGGCGUAAAGCGAGCGCAGGCGGUCAAUUAAGUCUGAUGUGAAAGCCCCCGGCUCAACCGGGGAGGGUCAUUGGAAACUGGUUGAAUUGAGUGCAGAAGAGGAGAGUGGAAUUCCAUGUGUAGCGGUGAAAUGCGUAGAUAUAUGGAGGAACACCAGUGGCGAAGGCGACUCUCUGGUCUGUAACUGACGCUGAGGCUCGAAAGCGUGGGGAGCGAACAGG
This 429-nucleotide ribosomal RNA is filed under the name Bacteroidota bacterium. Its description in RNAcentral is "Bacteroidetes bacterium partial 16S ribosomal RNA". It matches the Rfam family "Bacterial small subunit ribosomal RNA", at positions 355 to 776 of the family's 1533-position model. The record is from RNAcentral. Lineage: Bacteria; Pseudomonadati; Bacteroidota.